UUGUCGAGAACCUUAUGAGCGUUAUGAUAUUUUGGUUAUUGAGUUCUUAUUGAGUUCCUUGUUUUCAAAAUGGAUUUCAUAGUUUAUCAAAAGAUGACCUAAAUAUUAAACUCUGGUUUUACUCUGGUUGGAUUUUGGUUCGGGUUAGACUUGGGUCGCCCGAUUUGUGAGAAGACGCCUUGCAAUUGUUGUAACUUGGCUGACUCACCAUGUUGGUUUUAAACUUGGUUUAUGGAUUUAACUAAGUUAUCUGAAAUGGAUUUUCGGAUCAUGUUUCAAAGUGGGAACUUAAUUUGACUUAACUGAUUGUAUGACUUUGGUGACAGUCCGAGUAAGUAUGAUUAUUCCACGUUAGUUUAUGCUUUGGCAUUUUGACUAUAUAUGUAUAAUGGCGUUAUGAUGGUUUAUACGUUGGCUUGAUUGAUAUAUGUGCUAGUCGUAUGUGGUGUCUAGUACUCUCUAGAGUUAGGGGAUGAUAUUAAUUAUUAUAUAUAUUUUCUUAGACCCGUCGACUGCUCGUGCUUCGGAGUCGGAUCAGGUUUAGUUGCUUGUCAAGUUUUCACGUGGAUUUGCAAGCAGGUUAUGAUCUGAGAGAGUCUGGUGAUCUCCGCAUUUACUUUUCUUCGGAGGUUCCAUUUAUUUUUGAUAAACUGUAAAACUGUUUUAUUCUUAGACCGCAGUAGUAACUAGACGUCUUUAUUAUUACUGUAUAUUUUGUCGGAUUGGUUCGACUGGUUAUAUUGCUUUGGCAUGAUUAUAAUACUUACAUUGAUUUAUGAUAAAUCUAUAUUAGUCUCGGAA
Mercurialis annua (annual mercury) is the source of this 801-nucleotide long non-coding RNA. RefSeq lists it as uncharacterized. Lineage: Eukaryota; Viridiplantae; Streptophyta; Magnoliopsida; Malpighiales; Euphorbiaceae. The record is from RefSeq and is a predicted model, not a curated record. The transcript is spliced from 2 exons.